AGAGUUUGAUCAUGGCUCAGGAUGAACGCUGGCGGUAUGCCUAACACAUGCAAGUCGAACGAUGUCUUCGGACAUAGUGGCGGACGGGUGAGUAACGCGUGAGAAUCUGCCUCUAGGAUGGGGAUAACGGUUGGAAACGACCGCUAACACCCAAUAUGCCGUAAGGUGAAAAAUUUAUUGCCUGGAGAGGAGCUCGCGUCUGAUUAGCUAGUUGGUGGGGUAAGAGCUCACCAAGGCUUCGAUCAGUAGCUGGUCUGAGAGGAUGAGCAGCCACACUGGGACUGAGACACGGCCCAGACUCCUACGGGAGGCAGCAGUGGGGAAUUUUCCGCAAUGGGCGAAAGCCUGACGGAGCAAUACCGCGUGAGGGAGGAAUGCCUUUGGGUUGUAAACCUCUUUUCUCAGGGAAGAAGAUCUGACGGUACCUGAGGAAUAAGUAUCGGCUAACUCCGUGCCAGCAGCCGCGGUAAUACGGAGGAUGCAAGCGUUAUCCGGAAUCAUUGGGCGUAAAGCGUCCGCAGGUGGUUUCCAAAGUCUGCUGUUAAAGACUGGAGCUCAACUCCGGAACGGCGGUGGAAACUUGGAAACUAGAGUUCGGUAGGGGUAGCAGGAAUUCCCAGUGUAGCGGUGAAAUGCGUAGAUAUUGGGAAGAACAUCGGUGGCGAAGGCGUGCUACUGGACCGUAACUGACACUCAGGGACGAAAGCUAGGGGAGCGAAAGGGAUUAGAUACCCCUGUAGUCCUAGCUGUAAACGAUGGAAACUAGGUGUGGCUUGUAUCGACCCGAGCCGUGCCGUANCUAACGCGUUAAGUUUCCCGCCUGGGGAGUACGC
RNAcentral lists this ribosomal RNA (833 nucleotides) under uncultured marine microorganism. Its description in RNAcentral is "bacterial SSU rRNA". It matches the Rfam family "Bacterial small subunit ribosomal RNA", at positions 8 to 885 of the family's 1533-position model. The record is from RNAcentral.